CCUACGGGUGGCAGCAGUGAGGAAUAUUGGUCAAUGGACGAGAGUCUGAACCAGCCAAGUAGCGUGAAGGAUGACUGCUCUAUGGGUUGUAAACUUCUUUUAUAAAGGAAUAAAACGAGGCACGUGUGCCUUUUUGCAUGUACUUUAUGAAUAAGGAUCGGCUAACUCCGUGCCAGCAGCCGCGGUAAUACGGAGGAUCCGAGCGUUAUCCGGAUUUAGUGGGUUUAAGGGGAGCGUAGAUGGGUUGUUAAGUCAGAUGUGAAAGUCUGCGGCUCAACCGUAAAAUUGCAAUUGAUACUGGAAGUCUUGAGUACUGUUGAGGUAGGCGGAAUUCGUAGUGUAGCGGUGAAAUGCUUAGAUAUCACGAAGAACCCCGAUUGCGAAGGCAGCUUACUAAACUGUGACUGACAUUGAUGCUCGAAAGUGUGGGUAUCAAACAGGAUUAGAUACCCGUGUAGUC
Molecule: ribosomal RNA, 460 nt
Filed under: uncultured bacterium
Lineage: Bacteria
Description: partial 16S ribosomal RNA
Rfam family: Bacterial small subunit ribosomal RNA
Source: RNAcentral